UUUAAUCCCAGCACUUAGGAGGCAGA
Molecule: non-coding RNA, 26 nt
Filed under: Mus musculus (house mouse)
Lineage: Eukaryota; Metazoa; Chordata; Mammalia; Rodentia; Muridae
Source: RNAcentral